UUGGCAAGGCAGGCGGAAACUCUAUUUACGUUACAAGACUGCAGAGAUAUGUUUUAGAGCUGUCGAUAUACUAUUUUAACAUCGUAUAUCGACCAUCCGCAAAAAUGGGAAAUGCUGACUUUUGUUCUCUCUUUUCUUUACAACAGAAUGUUCCUGUAGAGUGCGAUGUAGAAUAUGUCAAGAGUCUCAAUCUUACCACCGAACUGCCCAUGAAUUUUUCAAAAACUGCCAGUGAAACUGCAAAGGAUGAAUUCUUGCUCAAUUUAAGGUCAUUCCUCGAGAAUGGUUGGCCAGAGAAAAUCGAUAAAACAUAUUUGAACGUUCAUGCAAAUCAACAUGACCUUGAAAUAGUGGAAGAUUGUGUAAUGUUUCAGGAUCGUGUAGUGAUACCACCGACGAACCGACGUGACAGUGGCGAUCCAAAACUGUCCCCCCUAAUUUAACGGUCGACCAGCGAAGCGAGCGAUCGCUUCUGUCAAAUCAGCACAGACGCGAACCGUUUCCUAUAUGAACACACGGGGGUUUGGUGUCGAGCUAUCAAAUCAUCGCGAGCCGUUAUAGAGGUGGCGAUAGUGUUCGGCUAUUUUUCAUCAUGGCGUCGCGGACAACAAAUUUGAAUUUAUUUGUUCUAGCUGUCACGUCGGUUCGUCGGUGGUGAUACCGUCCAUUGAGGAAACAAAUACCACAGACAAACAGACGUAACACUUGCGAAAUUUCCAUCGACCACGCUUUUAACGAUCAUUUUAAAUUUUCAUAGUUGUGUCUUUCACAACCAGAGGCGCGCGCAUCGUUUUUCUAUGCGUUUGACGUUUCACACUAGCGCCUUCUGUUGACGAUAUUGCACAACACAGUGAUUCGUGCAACUUUUCCACCAGGUGAUGUUAGUGUGAACUGGGCGAUGGAUUUCCAUAAAAAUCGUUCAAGGUGUUACGUCUGUUUGUCUGUGCAAAUACUAUCUAUGUUACAUAUAAACCAUUCAGGUGUGAUUAAAAUGAAGCAACUUGCGAGGCGUACCAUUUACUGGCCAGAGGUGGCAAUUGGAAACGUAACUACAAACGCGCAUCGAAACCAACUGAAGAUACCGAGUACUAAGCCACCCACCUUGAACGUAAUGGUCCCGGUUACCUCUAGCAAGCGGAGCCGGAUGGUAACGGUGAUGGCGGAUGAAGAUAUUCCAACAGCAUCAGAUUCGUUUUCAGCUGAAGAGACGAUAUCAAGACCAAUAAACGAUCCCGUGUUGGUCCCUCCAACUCUCCGAAGAUCUACGAGAACCAAGAGGCGCAAAAUUAACGAAGAUUUUAUCUACAAGUGAAUUUGAAUUGGAUUCUAUCUGUUAUGUUUUGUUAAUAAUUGUAAAUGAAUUAAUUUCCGUUGAACUUUUAAAUGUGAACUAGACAUAAGUAAAAAAUGAAUUUUCAGUGAAUUGCAUGUAAUAAUAUUUAACUUAAGGGGAAAGAACUGUAAUGUUUAAGUGAAUUCGACCUAAGUGGUAAACCCCUUUUAUCUGAAUGU
Aedes albopictus (Asian tiger mosquito) is the source of this 1512-nucleotide RNA transcript. RefSeq lists it as uncharacterized. The record is from RefSeq and is a predicted model, not a curated record. NCBI's taxonomy places the organism in Eukaryota, Metazoa, Arthropoda, Insecta, Diptera, Culicidae. The transcript is spliced from 2 exons.